ACGCUGGCGGCAGGCCUAAUACAUGCAAGUCGAACGGUCCUUCGGGACAGUGGCGGACGGGUGAGUAACACGUGGGAACGUGCCUUUAGGUUCGGAACAACCAAGGGAAACUUUGGCUAAUACCGGAUAAGCCCUUCGGGGGAAAGAUUUAUCGCCUUUAGAGCGGCCCGCGUCUGAUUAGCUAGUUGGUGGGGUAAUGGCCCACCAAGGCGACGAUCAGUAGCUGGUCUGAGAGGAUGAUCAGCCACACUGGGACUGAGACACGGCCCAGACUCCUACGGGAGGCAGCAGUGGGGAAUCUUGCGCAAUGGGCGAAAGCCUGACGCAGCCAUGCCGCGUGGAUGAUGAAGGUCUUAGGAUUGUAAAAUCCUUUCAGCGGGGACGAUAAUGACGGUACCCGCAGAAGAAGCCCCGGCUAACUUCGUGCCAGCAGCCGCGGUAAUACGAAGGGGGCUAGCGUUGCUCGGAUUUACUGGGCGUAAAGGGCGCGUAGGCGGAUGUUUAAGUCGGGGGUGAAAGCCCGGGGCUCAACCUCGGAAUUGCCUUCGAUACUGGACAUCUUGAGUACGGGAGAGGUGAGUGGAACUCCGAGUGUAGAGGUGAAAUUCGUAGAUAUUCGGAAGAACACCAGUGGCGAAGGCGACUCACUGGCCCGUUACUGACGCUGAGGGCGCGAAAGCGUGGGGAGCAAACAGGAUUAGAUACCCUGGUAGUCCACGCUGUAAACGAUGAGUGCUAGUUGUC
This 744-nucleotide ribosomal RNA is filed under the name uncultured Alphaproteobacteria bacterium. Its description in RNAcentral is "bacterial SSU rRNA". It matches the Rfam family "Bacterial small subunit ribosomal RNA", at positions 33 to 824 of the family's 1533-position model. Lineage: Bacteria; Pseudomonadati; Pseudomonadota; Alphaproteobacteria. The record is from RNAcentral.